This 433-nucleotide ribosomal RNA is filed under the name uncultured bacterium. RNAcentral describes it as "partial 16S ribosomal RNA". It matches the Rfam family "Bacterial small subunit ribosomal RNA", at positions 29 to 507 of the family's 1533-position model. The record is from RNAcentral.
AACGAACGCUGGCGGCAUGCCUAACACAUGCCAGUCGAACGAGACCUUCGGGUCUAGUGGCGCACGGGUGCGUAACGCGUGGGAACCUGCCCUUAGGUUCGGAAUAACUCCCCGAAAGGGGUGCUAAUACCGGAUAAUGUCUUCGGACCAAAGAUUUAUCGCCUUUGGAUGGGCCCGCGUUGGAUUAGCUAGUUGGUAGGGUAAAAGCCUACCAAGGCGACGAUCCAUAGCUGGUCUGAGAGGAUGAUCAGCCACACUGGGACUGAGACACGGCCCAGACUCCUACGGGAGGCAGCAGUGGGGAAUAUUGGACAAUGGGCGAAAGCCUGAUCCAGCAAUGCCGCGUGAGUGAUGAAGGCCUUAGGGUUGUAAAGCUCUUUUACCUGGGAUGAUAAUGACAGUACCGGGAGAAUAAGCUCCGGCUAACUCCGUG